AGUGAACGCUGGCGGUAGGCCUAACACAUGCAAGUCGAACGGCAGCACAGAAAGAGCUUCUUCUUUCGGGAGGCGAGUGGCGGACGGGUGAGGAAUACAUGGGACUGUACUUUUUAGUGGGGGAUAACGUAGGGAAACUUACGCAAAUACCGCAAACGACCUACGGGUGAAAGCAGGGGAUCUUCGGCCCUUGCGCGAGUGUAUGAGCCGAUGUCGGAUUAGCUAGUUGGCGGGGUAAAGGCACACCAAGGCGACGCUCCCUAGCUGGUCUGAGAGGAUGAUCAGCCACACUGGAACUGAGACACGGUCCAGACUCCUACGGGAGGCAGCAGUGGGGAAUAUUGGACAAUGGGCGCAAGCCUGAUCCAGCCAUGCCGCGUGGGUGAAGAAGGCCUUCGGGUUGUAAAGCCCUUUUGGUGGGGAGGAAGGGCAGCAGGUUAAUACCUCGCUUUUUUGACGGUACCCAAAGAAUAAGCACCGGCUAACUUCGUG
This 492-nucleotide ribosomal RNA is filed under the name uncultured bacterium. RNAcentral describes it as "partial 16S ribosomal RNA". It matches the Rfam family "Bacterial small subunit ribosomal RNA", at positions 29 to 507 of the family's 1533-position model. The record is from RNAcentral.